RNAcentral lists this ribosomal RNA (2893 nucleotides) under Escherichia coli. RNAcentral describes it as "bacterial LSU rRNA". It matches the Rfam family "Bacterial large subunit ribosomal RNA". The record is from RNAcentral. Lineage: Bacteria; Pseudomonadati; Pseudomonadota; Gammaproteobacteria; Enterobacterales; Enterobacteriaceae.
ACUAAGCGUACACGGUGGAUGCCCUGGCAGUCAGAGGCGAUGAAGGACGUGCUAAUCUGCGAUAAGCGUCGGUAAGGUGAUAUGAACCGUUAUAACCGGCGAUUUCCGAAUGGGGAAACCCAGUGUGUUUCGACACACUAUCAUUAACUGAAUCCAUAGGUUAAUGAGGCGAACCGGGGGAACUGAAACAUCUAAGUACCCCGAGGAAAAGAAAUCAACCGAGAUUCCCCCAGUAGCGGCGAGCGAACGGGGAGCAGCCCAGAGCCUGAAUCAGUGUGUGUGUUAGUGGAAGCGUCUGGAAAGGCGCGCGAUACAGGGUGACAGCCCCGUACACAAAAAUGCACAUGCUGUGAGCUCGAUGAGUAGGGCGGGACACGUGGUAUCCUGUCUGAAUAUGGGGGGACCAUCCUCCAAGGCUAAAUACUCCUGACUGACCGAUAGUGAACCAGUACCGUGAGGGAAAGGCGAAAAGAACCCCGGCGAGGGGAGUGAAAAAGAACCUGAAACCGUGUACGUACAAGCAGUGGGAGCACGCUUAGGCGUGUGACUGCGUACCUUUUGUAUAAUGGGUCAGCGACUUAUAUUCUGUAGCAAGGUUAACCGAAUAGGGGAGCCGAAGGGAAACCGAGUCUUAACUGGGCGUUAAGUUGCAGGGUAUAGACCCGAAACCCGGUGAUCUAGCCAUGGGCAGGUUGAAGGUUGGGUAACACUAACUGGAGGACCGAACCGACUAAUGUUGAAAAAUUAGCGGAUGACUUGUGGCUGGGGGUGAAAGGCCAAUCAAACCGGGAGAUAGCUGGUUCUCCCCGAAAGCUAUUUAGGUAGCGCCUCGUGAACUCAUCUCCGGGGGUAGAGCACUGUUUCGGCAAGGGGGUCAUCCCGACUUACCAACCCGAUGCAAACUGCGAAUACCGGAGAAUGUUAUCACGGGAGACACACGGCGGGUGCUAACGUCCGUCGUGAAGAGGGAAACAACCCAGACCGCCAGCUAAGGUCCCAAAGUCAUGGUUAAGUGGGAAACGAUGUGGGAAGGCCCAGACAGCCAGGAUGUUGGCUUAGAAGCAGCCAUCAUUUAAAGAAAGCGUAAUAGCUCACUGGUCGAGUCGGCCUGCGCGGAAGAUGUAACGGGGCUAAACCAUGCACCGAAGCUGCGGCAGCGACGCUUAUGCGUUGUUGGGUAGGGGAGCGUUCUGUAAGCCUGUGAAGGUGUGCUGUGAGGCAUGCUGGAGGUAUCAGAAGUGCGAAUGCUGACAUAAGUAACGAUAAAGCGGGUGAAAAGCCCGCUCGCCGGAAGACCAAGGGUUCCUGUCCAACGUUAAUCGGGGCAGGGUGAGUCGACCCCUAAGGCGAGGCCGAAAGGCGUAGUCGAUGGGAAACAGGUUAAUAUUCCUGUACUUGGUGUUACUGCGAAGGGGGGACGGAGAAGGCUAUGUUGGCCGGGCGACGGUUGUCCCGGUUUAAGCGUGUAGGCUGGUUUUCCAGGCAAAUCCGGAAAAUCAAGGCUGAGGCGUGAUGACGAGGCACUACGGUGCUGAAGCAACAAAUGCCCUGCUUCCAGGAAAAGCCUCUAAGCAUCAGGUAACAUCAAAUCGUACCCCAAACCGACACAGGUGGUCAGGUAGAGAAUACCAAGGCGCUUGAGAGAACUCGGGUGAAGGAACUAGGCAAAAUGGUGCCGUAACUUCGGGAGAAGGCACGCUGAUAUGUAGGUGAAGUCCCUUGCGGAUGGAGCUGAAAUCAGUCGAAGAUACCAGCUGGCUGCAACUGUUUAUUAAAAACACAGCACUGUGCAAACACGAAAGUGGACGUAUACGGUGUGACGCCUGCCCGGUGCCGGAAGGUUAAUUGAUGGGGUCAGCGCAAGCGAAGCUCUUGAUCGAAGCCCCGGUAAACGGCGGCCGUAACUAUAACGGUCCUAAGGUAGCGAAAUUCCUUGUCGGGUAAGUUCCGACCUGCACGAAUGGCGUAAUGAUGGCCAGGCUGUCUCCACCCGAGACUCAGUGAAAUUGAACUCGCUGUGAAGAUGCAGUGUACCCGCGGCAAGACGGAAAGACCCCGUGAACCUUUACUAUAGCUUGACACUGAACAUUGAGCCUUGAUGUGUAGGAUAGGUGGGAGGCUUUGAAGUGUGGACGCCAGUCUGCAUGGAGCCGACCUUGAAAUACCACCCUUUAAUGUUUGAUGUUCUAACGUUGACCCGUAAUCCGGGUUGCGGACAGUGUCUGGUGGGUAGUUUGACUGGGGCGGUCUCCUCCUAAAGAGUAACGGAGGAGCACGAAGGUUGGCUAAUCCUGGUCGGACAUCAGGAGGUUAGUGCAAUGGCAUAAGCCAGCUUGACUGCGAGCGUGACGGCGCGAGCAGGUGCGAAAGCAGGUCAUAGUGAUCCGGUGGUUCUGAAUGGAAGGGCCAUCGCUCAACGGAUAAAAGGUACUCCGGGGAUAACAGGCUGAUACCGCCCAAGAGUUCAUAUCGACGGCGGUGUUUGGCACCUCGAUGUCGGCUCAUCACAUCCUGGGGCUGAAGUAGGUCCCAAGGGUAUGGCUGUUCGCCAUUUAAAGUGGUACGCGAGCUGGGUUUAGAACGUCGUGAGACAGUUCGGUCCCUAUCUGCCGUGGGCGCUGGAGAACUGAGGGGGGCUGCUCCUAGUACGAGAGGACCGGAGUGGACGCAUCACUGGUGUUCGGGUUGUCAUGCCAAUGGCACUGCCCGGUAGCUAAAUGCGGAAGAGAUAAGUGCUGAAAGCAUCUAAGCACGAAACUUGCCCCGAGAUGAGUUCUCCCUGACUCCUUGAGAGUCCUGAAGGAACGUUGAAGACGACGACGUUGAUAGGCCGGGUGUGUAAGCGCAGCGAUGCGUUGAGCUAACCGGUACUAAUGAACCGUGAGGCUUAACC